Pelobates cultripes (western spadefoot toad) is the source of this 156-nucleotide non-coding RNA. NCBI's taxonomy places the organism in Eukaryota, Metazoa, Chordata, Amphibia, Anura, Pelobatidae. The record is from the annotation of a GenBank genome assembly.
AAGACACAUUCCUGCCAAUCAGCAGCAGCCCCUCCCUCCCAGACCCUCCCACCUCCUGGACAGCAUCCAUUGUGAAGCUGCAUUCUUAGUGAGCUGUCCAGGAGGUGGGAGGGUCUGGGAGGGAGGGUCUGCUGCUGAUUGGCUGGAAUGUGUCUG